GAUGAACGCUGACAGAAUGCUUAACACAUGCAAGUCUACUUGAACUUCGGUUUGGGUGGCGGACGGGUGAGUAACGCGUAAAGAACUUGCCCCACAGAUAGGGACAACAUUUGGAAACGAAUGCUAAUACCUGAUAUUAUGAUUUUAGGGCAUCCUAGAAUUAUGAAAGCUAUAUGCACUGUGAGAGAGCUUUGCGUCCCAUUAGCUAGUUGGAGAGGUAGCGGCUCACCAAGGCGAUGAUGGGUAGCCGGCCUGAGAGGGUGAUCGGCCACAAGGGGACUGAGACACGGCCCUUACUCCUACGGGAGGCAGCAGUGGGGAAUAUUGGACAAUGGACCAAGAGUCUGAUCCAGCAAUUCUGUGUGCACGAUGAAGUUUUUCGGAAUGUAAAGUGCUUUCAGUUGGGAAGAAAAAAAUGACGGUACCAACAGAAGAAGUGACGGCUAAAUACGUG
This 454-nucleotide ribosomal RNA is filed under the name uncultured bacterium. Its description in RNAcentral is "partial 16S ribosomal RNA". It matches the Rfam family "Bacterial small subunit ribosomal RNA", at positions 28 to 507 of the family's 1533-position model. The record is from RNAcentral.